Molecule: non-coding RNA, 29 nt
Filed under: Mus musculus (house mouse)
Lineage: Eukaryota; Metazoa; Chordata; Mammalia; Rodentia; Muridae
Also listed under: 1 other name
Source: RNAcentral
UUGGGUUGAUUUUAAUCUGAAAAGAGCUG